AUGGCUUUGGCGCCGGUGGAGUUCGUGGGCGCGAGGGACGGCGGGGAGGCGCUCUACUGCGCCAUCAUACUGUGGUUGUCCGUCAUGUCGUGGACCAUCUUCACCUGCGGCGGCGGGAGGAGGAGGAAGGGCCGUCGGGGCAGCCGGGACACCAAGGUCUUCAUCGGCGCUGACCGCCUCUGCGACGGCACCGGGCCCAACUGCAGCGGCGGCUACGGCCUCUGCGGCUCCUGCGUCGACUAG
Molecule: ribosomal RNA, 243 nt
Filed under: Triticum aestivum (bread wheat)
Lineage: Eukaryota; Viridiplantae; Streptophyta; Magnoliopsida; Poales; Poaceae
Description: partial small subunit ribosomal RNA
Source: RNAcentral